This is a long non-coding RNA of Oxyura jamaicensis (ruddy duck), 2793 nucleotides long. RefSeq lists it as uncharacterized. The record is from RefSeq and is a predicted model, not a curated record. The transcript has 2 exons. NCBI's taxonomy places the organism in Eukaryota, Metazoa, Chordata, Aves, Anseriformes, Anatidae.
GGAAAGAGGUUUGAGGUGGUAGCCCCACAGUUUGGACUUUGUUACGGUGGCGGAGCGGCCACAGAGUUUUGCUGAGACCGUCUCUGGAAGAGACAGUUACGUGGACUGGAUUAUGAAGGGCUGCAACUGAAUAUGCUUGGCUCUGAUGGGAAAGAAAAAUCCUCUGAAGAUUUUGAUCUAACUUAAUCUAUUUUAUAAGCAAUUUACUCUGAAGUUUUGUUGUUUGAAAACUAACCAAGAAACACCUUGUGACUGCAUCUAAAAGAAAAAAAAACAUCAUGUUGAAGCUAAACUUUCUAAUGCAACUGAAAUGCAGAAGCAGUAAUUACCUAAACAACUAAAGCAUAACAAGCAGAACAAAAUGAAAUAGAAAUCUGAUGCCCCCUCAAGUCCUCCUAAACAGGCAAGCAAUUUGAUAAGGAGGGCCCUUUAAAAACAUUUGCCAAGCCUCAGGAAGAAUAAGUGAAUGGAAUUUGAAGUUAGUAAAGUUCAAACAGGAAGUAAAUUGCACAUUUUUAACAUGACAGCUGAAUAACCACUGAAGCAAAUUCCUAAUAUUUGUGGUCAGUUCUUCAUAUUUGAAAGCUUCAUAAUGGUGUUUAUGAACUUAGAGGACAAGGUGCAGGAAUUUAAAGUCUAACCUCUAAUGUGACUGACAUUAGGCAGGAUGACAUUAGCGAGAAUGUUUAUCAAACUGCUUCCAUCUGGGCUUAAAAUAUCGUAAAUAUAAACUGCAAAAUCACAUGAACACUUGGAAUUCAAAAACUAACUGUUAGAAAAGGGGUAUAUAAGCCCCAUGAUAUUCAACUCCCUUAGGGUAAUUAGGAAAUCAGACCGAGCUACAUAUCCUACUGAGUUUUAUGAGCAAGUAUGUCUUGUAGUUGUAUGAGCUUGAACUUGAAAUAAACUUUCAGCUAAUAACUUGGGGCUUCAAAUUAAAAGAGUUUUUCAAUAGAGAUUUAUCUUUGCUCAAAUAAUACUGAAGUUUCUUAACAAAAGGAAUGAGACAAGUGAAUGUCUGGGCAAUUACAUGGCAUUUCUAAUGAGGAGAUGCCAAUUGUAAAAGAUAUGGGAAAUUUAAAAAUAAAUUGGGAGCAAUAAUAUCCAUUUUAUGUUAUGAUUUCUUUAGCACCAGAGUUGUACUGUAACACUGAAAUAAUUCAGUCACUAGUGUGUGCUGACAGAGUGAGCCCUAGGCACACAUUUAUCAUUUCAGUAUAACUCCACUGGAGCCAGUGAAGUAACGUUUGGAUUUUCAUAUAUGUAAAUGAGAUCCACUUUGGGUCCUCUGUGCCUAAGUAGCAGUAUAUCACCAUACAGAGAGGAAUUAAAAAUGUGCAUAGAUAAGAGAAAUCUGCCCUCAUGAAAAUCUGCUUAGUCUACUGAGAGACAAAGAUAGGAGCAGAGUGAAAAACAGUGGAUAAAUCAAAUGUAGUCGUGUUUUUGAAAAUCAGUGAUUUGAUAGAAGACAUAAAGGAUAAGGUUUCUAGAAACCUAGCAAGAUAGGUGGGCACAUUGCUACUCUUUAUCCUUUCCUGCCUUUAUACUGAUUCAAAUGCAUCUCUCCUUACAGUAUUUUGUUCAUUCUCAAAACUGGCUUCCCAAUACUUAUUAACUCCUAACUAUUGGCCUCCAUUGGAGCUCACAGUCCAUAAGUGAUAAUAUACUCCCAUGAAAAAAUUGGGGGGGGGGGGAGGAUUAGAGACUGGAUGAGGCUCCUUUGGGAGGUAGAUUGGACCUGGUUUAAGUCAAUCCAAGCCCAGUUCUUCAUGAAGUAAUCCAGUAGAUAUUGUGCCAAAUCCAUCCACCCACUGUAUGGUGUGCAGCGUUGGUUCCCUCAUCCAGCAUCCCACUACAAACUUUCCAUCACAGAAGGCUGAGAAGAUUCUGCAGGAGCAGAACUACUUCUUAUAGCUUAUUGUCUCUGAUUCUUGUUCUUUUUUACUUGGAUUCUCCAGUUGGACCAACCUUUAAUUCAGUUUGACCAACCUGAAGUCUGUAUUGGUCAAAAAGACCCACCACCUGCACCUGGGUUUAAGUCUUGGGAAAUCACAAUACCUGUCAUUGGAUAACCAUCUCUGGCAGUCCUGACCUGAAGAAAUCAGGGGCACUUACCAAACUGACGUCCACCCAACCACUGAAGUCAAUGGAAAUAUUCCUACUGACACCCACACCUUUAGGCUUCUGUUAGGUUGUAUUUGGUUUGAAUAUAUAUGCCAUCUGCCACAAGUGCACACUGUGCUUCCAUGCACAUAGAAUUAGGAAAUUAGGAGAUAAAGCUUUGCCAGUUGGAGAUAAAGCUCUUCCAAACUUUGUCACAUUAAGACCUCAGGAGAGACUUGUAUGCUUGAAAGCAUGUCUUUUUUGUUUGUUAGUUUUCCUCCCACCUGUAUCAGCUGAAUUAGUGACAAAUACUAUCUCCCCCUAAAAACCUACCUCUUUAUAUAUCAUGACUGUAACCAUGCUAUUAAAGAAGUGCUCUUCGGUGCCAUUUUCUGCAUAAACAACAACAACAAACUAAUCCCUCCCUCUACAAAAGAACAAAGUUUGCUUUCUUAAUAAAGAGGGUGAUACUUGAUUUCCAGUGAGAACUUUGUUCUUUAUUCCACCUUGUGACUUUGAAAAUGUGUAUUAGAUAAACAAAAAGGUUUAUAGGAAAGCCUUAUGUACUAAACAUCUGGAAGUGCUUUUUAGUCUCUCAAACUAAGCUUUACAUCAAUCAAGAAAAUUAUACAUCCUUAUCAACUGUACAAGAAAGUACUAACAAAACAUUCUGUACAUCUGUAUACUUUU